RNAcentral lists this ribosomal RNA (274 nucleotides) under uncultured bacterium. RNAcentral's name for it is "partial 16S ribosomal RNA". It matches the Rfam family "Bacterial small subunit ribosomal RNA", at positions 523 to 796 of the family's 1533-position model. The record is from RNAcentral.
AUACGGAGGGUGCAAGCGUUAAUCGGAAUUACUGGACGUAAAGCGUACGUAGGCGGUUCGUUAAGUUAGAUGUGAAAGCCCCGGGCUUAACCUGGGAACUGCAUUUAAAACUGGCGAACUAGAGUUGAGUAGAGGGGAGUGGAAUUUCAGGUGUAGCGGUGAAAUGCGUAGAGAUCUGAAGGAACACCAGUGGCGAAGGCGGCUCCCUGGACUCAAACUGACGCUGAGGUACGAAAGCGUGGGUAGCAAACGGGAUUAGAUACCCUAGUAGUCC